UCUCAUUGAGUCUAGAACUUCGAAUCUCUUGUCCCUUAUAUUCAUAUUGAGUAACCAAUAGCGGCCAUCCUUGCUUUCUGAAUCAAAUGUUUCAAGCAUUGGGAACAUUACCUACAGAAAAAAAAAGCAAAAACAAAUUAGGCAAUUACUCUCUGAGAAGAAACUUAGGCUGCAGGCAAGUUUGGCUUAGUUAGCAACUCAGGGGAUGAAAAAUGAUUUUGACAGUUAACAAAGCAAGUUUUUUGGCCCGCUCCAGCAACUACUAAUGCAUGGACUUUGGAGAAAAAAAGGACAUGAAAAUGGGGCAUUGAAAAACGCAAUUCCUCACCAUCCAGCCGAUCAAGGUGCAUUGUUCCCCUGUCUAAUCUUUUCUUUAAAUCACAGCUGGUCAGGUCUGAACGCUGCAACCAGGUCUGCGUUUUUUGUUUGACAGAGCAGAGAAACAAGUUUUUUAGUCCUUUUUAGUUGCAUGGUUUGCUGUCUCUGAAAAAACUAAAACAAAAAGAAAAGCAAGAAAGAUGCUUAUGG
This 528-nucleotide long non-coding RNA is filed under the name Brachypodium distachyon (stiff brome). RNAcentral's name for it is "long non-coding RNA (BDIS_LNC000481)". Lineage: Eukaryota; Viridiplantae; Streptophyta; Magnoliopsida; Poales; Poaceae. The record is from RNAcentral.